RNAcentral lists this long non-coding RNA (6446 nucleotides) under Chlamydomonas reinhardtii. Its description in RNAcentral is "long non-coding RNA (CREI_LNC000940)". The record is from RNAcentral. Lineage: Eukaryota; Viridiplantae; Chlorophyta; Chlorophyceae; Chlamydomonadales; Chlamydomonadaceae.
UCAGUGUGGAGUGGCAGUAGCAGUGUGGCAGUGGAAGCAACGCAAAUCCAGGAGCGGCCCCAGCCACAGCCACAGCCACAGCCCACCAGAAGCAGAAGCAUCUUCAGCCCAGCAGCCCCAACAGCCCACCACCGCCGCCCAGGCGCCCACCACCGCUCCACGGCCCGCCACCGCCCCACCUGCACGCCUGUGUCCCGCAGCAGGACGCGCUCCCCAGGUGCGCCCCGGCGCUGCAGCUGCACGAUCACCUCCACCUCACUGCCCACCGGCCAGGCGGGGCCGUGACACACAGUCGUGGCCGCCGCCACCUCCUCCUCGCCCUCCUCCGCCUCCCCCUGAUCCCCGUCCUGGACCCCACGCAACACGGAGGCCUGGCCUGCGCUCGGACCCGUGCAUGACUCACGCCGCCGCUGCCACCACAACCACCAACCGCCACCGCCCGCCGCAACCGUCCUGCUGGCGGCGCCGCUGGUCGCUGCCGUUGCUGAUGCAACAGCAACAGUUGCUGGUGUAGCCACGGGGCCACGGCUUCGGUGCGCCGCCGCGGUGGCUGCUGGCGGCGGCGGCGGCGGCGGUGGCGGCGGCAUGGGCAGCCGCGUCCACGGCGUGCCUAGCCAUCCCGUCAGCCCUGUCAGCAGCCUUCCGCCGCCACCACCGAUACCACCACCGCCGCUGCCGCCGCCGCUGCUGCUGGUGCUAGUGGUGCUGCCCGUGCUGCCCGUGCUGACGUUGGGCUGUCCGCCCCCUGAAUGUGAGCCCUCACGUGUACCGCGUGCAUCUGCUACAUCACAGGCGCCGAAGGCGCCUGCGUUGGCUACACCACCGCCAGCACUGGCCGCACCGCCGCCGCCGCCCCUGCCGCCACUCCCACCGCCAUUGACCAGCACGAGCAGCGCCACAGCUACUGCGCAACCUACCUACGGUGCCGAUGCCUGUUAGGGAUGGGCACAAUGUGAGCGGCGCUGGCGACACGUAGACGGCUGCUGUUGAGAAGGGGGAGGCGAGCUGCUGCAAGAGCUGCUUGUCAGGGCGGUAGUGCGCGUGCCAGCAGGCGGUGACGCCGAGUGGGGGCCUGCACUAGCAGGUAUGGUGGAUGCUGCUGCGGCCGAGUCACCCAGCUGCUGCUGCUGCUGCUGCUGGCGGCCGCCCUUGCCUCCUCCCAGCACUUGCCACAGCGGUGCCGUGACCCCAUGGAUCCAGGAGGCGGGCCACCACGUGGCGGCGGACUUGGGCGGGGCGGCGGCAAGUGGCGGCGGCGGUGCCGCUGCACAGCACACACACACACACACACACACACACACACACACACACACACACACACACACACACAAAAACAGAGACACAGAGGCAGUGCACGGGGCGGCGAGGGGCGCAGGCAAGGGAGUCAGCAGUGUUCAGCGUGUCAGUGCCGCUUGACAAGGGAAGGAGCUGACAACACACAUGAUGAGGCCGCCAGGCUUGCUACCUGCCGCACCUCAAGCCAAGCGCAUGUCCUGUCAGGCGGUGGUGGUGGGUGGGAUGGGGGCAUCCCGCCGGUCCUGCCCCAACUGCAAUCAGUCCAGCCCGAUCCGUGGGCACACCCCAAAACCCAACGCUCACCGCGGGCUCACCUUGCUGGUCGCCCGCGCCGCCUGGCGCGCUGGUGCUGCCAUCUGAGGUUCCAGGCGGAGUGCAUGCAACAGGGGGGUUGCGCAAAGGGGGUUGUGGGUCCAGUAAGAGAGGGGGAGGUUCUCAUGCGGGGGUCGCAACAGGACGCACACAUUGCUCCCGACGCGUCGCAAGCGCGCACCCACCUAAUCCAUGUGCACGGUAGCAUACCCAAACAUCAUCCCUGCCUGCUGACCGUGUGUAGGCUCCAGCUCCUCCAAUAUCUCCUUCUCUUGCGCCCGUAGUUCAUUCUGGCGCGUGCGCAGACGGGCUCGGGAACCCUCAAGCAACUUGAGUUGCAGCGCGAACUUACGUGCCUUCUCACCCUCUUCCUCCCUGCGGGACGUCCACAUGACAGCCCAAAAGGAUGGAAUUCAUGGGGAACACGCGCGGUUCAGGGUACCCCCCAACUUGAAGGCGGGGAUGCUGUGGGAUUCCUUGCAAGCUGAAAUUUUAGGUUCGCCACCGCCAUGUACGACAGGCGUUUGUCUUUUGGCACACGGCUUGAGAGGGGUUAUGUGCACAAGAGCCGAAGAAUCGUCGCCCAAUUCUGGAAUGCAGUGCAAGCUCCACGCAUAGCCGAGGGGUGUACAGACCGACCCCACGCAAAUACAUCCACAUCAAUAGUCCUACCCGUUACGAGCGCGAUUGGAGGCCAGGGUGUGCGCAGCAAGGGCACUGCCGGGUAGGCACACACACCGCCGGGUAGCCGCACACACCGCCGUAGGCAUGCACAGCGGGGACGGCGGUCACGAAAUGUCUGACGUAGCCCUGAAGCUUUAGAUAGCACAUAUGUGCAUAUAAGAAUGUGUUAAGAUGACCGCAGCAAAUAAAGGUUUUAUAACCAACCUGCUGCAUGCAGUUUCCAACCGAAAUAUCUUGCCGGCGAGCUACAGCAUUCUAGCAUCUGCUUAGUACACUUUACGUAGGCGACGGCAAAUGUGACGACUGUUCGUCGAACUACGCAGGGCGAACCUAUUGUGCAGCAGGGGCCCAAACAGACAUGUGACCUGUCCUACAGUUGCCUCUGUGGCAAAAGGAAGCAACCCAGGUGCAUCGGAAGGUGCAACUCUGACUGUGUUGGCGGUCCUGUGGGUUUGGGCCUCGGCCCGUGGGAAAGGGAAACGCACCUGAACAGGUACUUGACAAUCUGCCGUCGAUCCUCCGCGUUCUUUGCUAUUUCAUCAUCUAGAUUGUUCAUGAGCUUCCUGAUUUCCUGCACCUCCGCCAUUCCGCGCAUUCUGGUGAGAGACUUUGGUUCUGCGCCUGCAGCUCGCUUCUCGCCGGCGGACUGCUAAAUGGUACGUGACUAUGACAUGUCAAUUCCCGGUAGCCAAGACCGGUCGCGAGCACUUGCCAAUCCUGAAGUCCGGUGCGGGCGCUAGUUGUUUAACUCUUUCGAAUUAAGCUUACAAAAAACAAGUAUUUCAAUGUGCAGGACAACGCCGGGCCUCUGGGCGGACGAUAGCGCAGAUUGAUCUCCAUUGGCCAUGCAACGUGCCCCCCUCCCCUCCAGCCCACUCCUGAGUCGCUGCGCUCCGGGGGCUCAGCCCCCGAAACUCGCUGAGCUGGCGGCAAGUCACGAAAAACGGUUCGUGGUGCUAAGAUGCAAGUGCUAAUGACCAGGGUGCCGGGCCUCUGCCGAGCCUUUGGGGGUGCGAUGUGCGACAGUGGUAAGGCAGGUUGGUGAAGUCCCGUAGGGUACCGGCACCAACACCCACCAGCACUCCUGCCCUGCUCUUGCAAAUUGUUUGCCAUCUGCUGGGGUCUGGGAGUCAGCUACACCCUGCGGGACUUCACCAACCUGCCUUGACACUGCCCCAUCGCACACUAGCACUCUGCUGCUCACAGCCGCCGCCGCCUCCAAAGUUGUUGUUGCUGUUGUGGUGGUGGUGGUGGUGGUGGUGGUGGUGGUGGUGGUGGUGGUGGUGGUGGUGGUGGUGGUGGUGGUGGUGGUGGUGGUGGUGGUGGUGGUGGUGGUGGUGGUGGACUGGUGGUGGUGGUGGUGCUCAGUUUGGCUCAGCGGGUGACAGCUGGGUGACGGCUCAGUCGUGGGCUCAGUGGGACUCACUCACUCUACCCUCCCGACGGGCUCCCUUUUCUGCCUUGCCUCGCCCUGUUUUCCCCCUGCUUGCCACACUGUCGCCCGGCCACUGCUUUGCUGCAUUCUGUCCGCAUUUUCUCUGCGGUUGCCUCUGGUGCUCAUCCGUGGACGCUGGUCACCUUCCGCAGGUGCGCUGCGGCUCUGCAUCGCGAGUGUGGCGUUGCGGUGUGUCUGUGUGGUGCUAUCGCCUGGCCGGGCGCCCGGAGCGUGAGGAAUGCGCAUCAGCAAACUUCCAGCCAGCCAGCAAGUUUUCGGUACAGUAACUCCGGCGUUCGACCAGCCGCGCACUCCUGCCCUGCCGUUGCAAAUUGUUUGCCAUCUUCUGGGGUCUGGGAAUCAGCUGCACCCUGCGGGACUUCACCAACCUGCCUUAACACUGUCCCAUCGGACACUCACUCUACCCUCCCGACGGUGCAGGGACGUGACGUCAACUCCGCAACCAACAUCCGGCACGCGCUAGUGGAGAUGCUGCUGGGGCACAAGCGACCUGCAUCGCUGCAGAAUGGCGGCGGCGGGGGCAGCGGGGGCGGCGGCAGCGGCGGCGGCGGCGGCGGCAGCAGCGGGGGUGCGUGCGCGCAUCUUGAUAGCGGAGGGGGCGGGAAAGGCCACGUGGAGGAGGAGAGCGCAGCGCCGCCCAAGAAGCGGUGCAAGCGCACAGGCUGAGGAGCCGGCUGAUGUCUAGGUAGUGGUCCGCGGUGGGGCUGGCAGGGCAUGCGUAGCGGUAUGACAAGUAGUGCGGCUGUUGACAACUGUGCUGCGUCUGACUGAGGUUGGCUCUGCUGUGGCAUCGCGAUUGCUAGGCACCUGGUUUGGCUAUGUGCCUGUGGAAACCGACCCCGGCUAUGUCCGGGCGAUGAGGUUGUUCGGCCUCAGACUGUGGAGGGGCUCAGCUCCUUUUCCCGUGACCGGGGAACACUUGUCGCUUUGAGCACCGCAUCCAAUACCUGUUCACACACCGGCGUGCCGCUGUGUGGCCGGAACGCCCAUCAAGAUCCAGACACGAUGAGAGGCACGGCCGAUGGCGCCGAGUAAAGCCAUCACCACGCCCAGUGUUCCGGCCAGCUGUUGUACUGUUACGAUCCCUGUUCGAGACAGGGCUGGGCCCUAACUGAUGCCUCUUACGAGUCUUCUAGUGACUACGCGGUCACCUAAGCCUCAUCCGUCACAUCUCGAACGCCUUACCAGUCUCCACACUGAGUUGUGUUCGGGGUGGGCUAGGUAGGCGUUUAAUCGCGCGCCUGCAGUGGUUCCCGUAUGGUAGCUGGCCUGCUUGUUGCUGGGCUAGUGAACGCGGCUGCUUGGAUAGGUGUGCGAGGGGACAGUGGUAAGGCAGGUUGGUAAAGUCCCGUAGGGCGCAGCUGAUUCCCAGAACUAACCCAGCAGAUGGCAAACAAUUUGCAACGGCAGGGCAGGAGUACGCGGCCGGUCGAACGCCGGAGUUACUGUACCGACGAGUUGCUGGCUGGCUGGAAGUUUGCUGACGCGCAUUCCUCACGCUCCGGGCGCCCGGCCAGGCGAUAGCACCACACAGACACACCGCAACGCCACACUCGCGAGGCAGAGCCGCAUCGCACCUGCAGGAAGAUGCUGCUUGGAUAGGUGGGUGUGCGUGGCGGUCGGUUAGCAGCUGUCUUUGUGCCCCGGACUGAGUCAAUGAAAUGCGUGCAGUCCCGGUGAGAAUGUGAGAUGUGCUCAAUACAGCCUACAAUGUACGGUAUCAAGUCUCCCGCGUGAGUCUCCCGUCAAACACAGCCAGAAGUACAGCUACAAAUGCGCUGCGGCAGUAUGGUAGCAGGCGCGUGGUGUGAGCUUGCGUAACUGUCGCGAGUGUCUUGGCCCUUUCAUACAUCCUGUGGCUGCAAUGGCACAACGGCACAACGGCACAACGGCUACGACUGUACGACAACGCCUGAGCCCGGUGGCGACCCUCCGUCCCCUCCUGUUGCUACUGCCGCUACGGCACCACCACUGCUAUCGCUACUGCCACGGGCACCGGUGCCGCUACUGCCACCACCACCGCUGCCCCGCCUGCUCUGCGCCGCCUCCACUUCAACGCCACCAUUGCCGCUACCUCUUCCACCGCCAUCGCCACCACCAUUACCAUCACCACCCCCGCCGCUGCCGCCGCCGCCUCCACUGCUACUGCCGGUACGCCCCUCACCAGUAGGCCUGCUGGCGCCGCCGCGGCCGCGACGCGGGCAGUGCGACGCCGCCGCUACUGCCCCCGCUACUGCCGCCGCUACUGCCGCCGCCGCCGUGAGCAUCAGCGCGCGCAGCGGUGCGAUGAGGAUGACGUCGACGAGGUGUAGCAGCAGCGUCAGCAGCACCCAGGCCACCUCGCGCCGCCGGAAGAUCACCUCCACGCCCACCUGCAGAGGCGUGGUGUGGCAGUAGCAAUGUGGAGUGGCAGUAGCAGUGUGGCAGUAGCAGUGUGGCAGUGGAAGCAACGCAAAUCCAGGAGCGGACCCAGCCACAGCCACAGCCACAGCCACAGCCACAGCCACGGCCAUAGCCCAGCAGAAGCAGCAGCAUCCUCAGCCCAGCAGCCCCAGCAGCCCACCACCGCCGCCCAGGCGCCCACCACAGCCCACCACGGCCCGCCACCGCCCCACCUGCACGCCUGUGUCCCGCAGCAGGACGCGCUCCCCAGGUGCGCCCCGGCGCUGCAGCUGCACGAUCACCUCCACCUCACUGC